RNAcentral lists this ribosomal RNA (342 nucleotides) under uncultured archaeon. RNAcentral describes it as "bacterial SSU rRNA". It matches the Rfam family "Archaeal small subunit ribosomal RNA", at positions 345 to 700 of the family's 1478-position model. The record is from RNAcentral.
AACCUCCGCAAUGCGAGCAAUCGCGACGGGGGGACCCCAAGUGCCACUUUAACGGGGUGGCUUUUCUUAAGUGCUUUUGGAUAAGGGCUGGCAAGACCGGUGCCCGCCGCCGCGGUAACACCGGCAGCUCUAGUGGUAGCCAUUUUUAUGGGCCUAAAGCGUUCGUAGCCGGUUUGAUAAGUCUCUGGUGAAAUCGUAUAGCUUAACUAUGGGAAUGCUGAGGAUACUGUUAGGCUUGGGUUCGGGAGAGGUUAGCGGUACUCCCAGGGUAGGGGUGAAAUCCUGUAAUCCUGGGAGGACCACCUGUGCGAAGGGCGGCUAACUGGAACGACCUGACGGUGA